GGCUGCGCAGCUUGAACCGCACGCGGUCUGAAGCCUUCGCAGUAAGGGACCCCAAUUACUGUCACUUUCCUGCGCUGAUGCACAUCCAACAGGCUCGGCAGGCCCCGGGCCUCCACUCCAGGGUUGAAUCAGCAGUUAAGCCCUCCUAUUCUUUGGAAAUUCUCCGCUCACUCCUGUGGAUUUCUGUUUCAACACCAAAGAACCAGUGUCCUCAACCAGCGCCAGCAGGAGUUUCACAUCCUGGUGCUCACCUGCCAUCUGGUGGUGAGGAAUGAACACCAAGAUACAGAGGAAAUUUUCUUUCUUCUGCGGUUUUCUCCACAGUUAACAACUCAGAGUGUUUGGUCAGUGUAAAAUGUAAAAGAUAUGAGGCAGUGAGGAAGCUGAAACACAGGAUGGACGAUGAAAUGGAGCCAUGAAUGAGGACGGGACAGGAAAAGCACACGAGGAAGUCCUCAUACUUUUUAAGGAGAGAGGCCCAGUUUGGUCCUGAAUUUUUCCAGCAGCCUGCACAGAGGGAAAUUUGAUCAGCAAAACAGAAGGAAGAUGCAGAAGAAGAGAGCAAGAAAUGAAGUCUGGGUUUGAAGGUUGCUUGUUAAGUCUUGUCUACAUGGACACCCGCCGAAACAAAGAGCCUCUACAAUAGCAGCCAGCACCUUAC
This is a long non-coding RNA of Cervus elaphus (red deer), 661 nucleotides long. RefSeq lists it as uncharacterized. The transcript has 3 exons. NCBI's taxonomy places the organism in Eukaryota, Metazoa, Chordata, Mammalia, Artiodactyla, Cervidae. The record is from RefSeq and is a predicted model, not a curated record.